Molecule: long non-coding RNA, 558 nt
Organism: Rhipicephalus microplus (southern cattle tick)
Lineage: Eukaryota; Metazoa; Arthropoda; Arachnida; Ixodida; Ixodidae
Source: RefSeq, a predicted model, not a curated record
CUUCUUCGACUUGCCAGAGGAGUUCAAACUGGAGGACAAGCACUUCGAGGUGUUUAGAGACCUGCGUGGCGUGAGGCUGCAUUUUAGGCGCAGCGUAGCAGUUGUUUCACCAAUGCCCCCAGAGAUUUCACCCCCGUCCAUGCUGGACUUGGGCUACAUGGAAGAUGGCUUUGUGGACCUGGAGGCAAUCGACAAGCCUGUCCCACAAAGUGUACUUCAGUGUGUGCCUCUGGACUGAGCAAGUUCCACGUCGGUGCUUUCAAUCUGCAACUGUCUGCCCACGUCUGUGCCUGGUCAACUGAGCUAUGUCCAGAGUGCAGAUUUCAAGUCACUUUUUUAUCUUUUAUUUGAUAGGCAGCACAUAAUAGGGGCUCCAAGCAUUCUGCACCAAAGAAAAUAUAAUCUGGCAGCUUGGAUUGUGUGCCGUGUCUGCCUCCUUACCUUUUAUGUCCCUCUGACGAACACUUUGCUGUGAACUUUAGCUGUAAGAACAUAUCAAUACAGAGUGUAAAUAAAGUGUUUAAAAACUAAGCAGCGUACUCUGUCUAAAUGGAAGAU